GAGUUUGAUCAUGGCUCAGAACGAACGCUGGCGGCAUGCCUAACACAUGCAAGUCGAACGAAGGCUUCGGCCUUAGUGGCGCACGGGUGCGUAACGCGUGGGAAUCUGCCCUUUGCUUCGGAAUAACAGUGGGAAACUACUGCUAAUACCGGAUGAUGUCUUCGGACCAAAGAUUUAUCGGCAAGGGAUGAGCCCGCGUAGGAUUAGGUAGUUGGUGGGGUAAAGGCCUACCAAGCCGACGAUCCUUAGCUGGUCUGAGAGGAUGAUCAGCCACACUGGGACUGAGACACGGCCCAGACUCCUACGGGAGGCAGCAGUGGGGAAUAUUGGACAAUGGGGGGAACCCUGAUCCAGCAAUGCCGCGUGAGUGAUGAAGGCCUUAGGGUUGUAAAGCUCUUUUACCAGGGAUGAUAAUGACAGUACCUGGAGAAUAAGCUCCGGCUAACUCCGUGCCAGCAGCCGCGGUAAC
This 469-nucleotide ribosomal RNA is filed under the name uncultured Alphaproteobacteria bacterium. Its description in RNAcentral is "bacterial SSU rRNA". It matches the Rfam family "Bacterial small subunit ribosomal RNA", at positions 9 to 524 of the family's 1533-position model. Lineage: Bacteria; Pseudomonadati; Pseudomonadota; Alphaproteobacteria. The record is from RNAcentral.